ACGUCUCAUCUCCACUCCAUCCUCUGUACUCCUCUUCCUCUUCCCUUAUCUCUACUCCCUCCUUACUCCCGCCGCCCGUGCGUCUCCUCCUCCACUCCUGCAGUGGUGAGGUUUCUCUCCCUCCAUUCCUUUCGCCUGCUCUCCUCGCCUCAUGUCGGCUCGCCCUCGUUGGUGCCAUUCAUCGGCGCCAUCCAUCCUACCUCCGCGUGGGUCCCCAAGGAGAGGGGGAUCUUGCCGCGAUCGAAGUUGGUCGCCUGGAUCUCGCCGCCCCCAGGACGGGGCGCUGGCCGGAUCUGAGGACACCUUCUUGUUAGUACUACUAAAACGCUUUCCUCUGCCGUGCAACAGGAAGAAAGACACACAAGAUCCGACGGCUCGGGAGCGGCGGCGACGACGAGCUGGCGCCCCUGGAUCUCGAGGCGCUCCUGGCCACGACGCAAGACUCGGACCCCGACUGCCCCGCCGACGAGCAGACGAUCC
RNAcentral lists this long non-coding RNA (480 nucleotides) under Zea mays. RNAcentral's name for it is "long non-coding RNA (ZMAY_LNC004067)". The record is from RNAcentral. Lineage: Eukaryota; Viridiplantae; Streptophyta; Magnoliopsida; Poales; Poaceae.